RNAcentral lists this ribosomal RNA (777 nucleotides) under uncultured Neocallimastigales. Its description in RNAcentral is "partial large subunit ribosomal RNA". It matches the Rfam family "Eukaryotic large subunit ribosomal RNA", at positions 24 to 635 of the family's 3401-position model. Lineage: Eukaryota; Fungi; Neocallimastigomycota; Neocallimastigomycetes; Neocallimastigales. The record is from RNAcentral.
UAUCUCUGUAGAGUCUGCAUAUCAAUAAGCGGAGGAAAAGAAACUAACUAGGAUUCCCUCAGUAACGGCGAGUGAAGCGGGAAGAGCUCAAAUUUGAAAUCUUCAAGGUUCUACCUUGACGAAUUGUAGUUUAAAGAAGUGUUUUCUGUUGGAGUUUUGGUAAAAGUUCUUUGGAAUAGGACAUCAUAGAGGGUGAGAAUCCCGUAUUUGACCAUUAUUUCCAGCUUUGUGAUACACUUUCAAAGAGUCGGAUUGUUUGGGAAUGCAGUCCAAAAUGGGUGGUAAAUUUCAUCUAAAGCUAAAUACUGGCGAGAGACCGAUAGCGAACAAGUACCGUGAGGGAAAGAUGAAAAGAACUUUGAAAAGAGAGUUAAACAGUACGUGAAAUUGUCAAAAGGGAAGCGUUUGACACCAGUGUUGUUUUCUCGAAAAUCAAUUAAAAAAGGCAGGAUUUUGUGUUGUAUUGACUUUAUCAGCUUUUCUGCACUCUUUUCUUGUCCUUUUUAAUGCACUUUUCGUUUAACAAGUCAACAUCAAUUUCUUUUGUUGUAAAAGGGUCAUUGGAAGGUGGCUUUCUUUUCGGAGAAAGUGUUUAUAGCCUUUGGCCUUCUGCAAUCGGAGAGAUUGAGGUCUGCAGCGUAGAUCCUUCUGGAUUAGAUACAUUUGUGCUAAGUUAUAGCCGUUUCAUAGACAACUUGUUGACUAUAUCGAUCAUGUAGCUUACUCGCUUAUGCUAAUUUUACCUACGCUUAGGAUGUUGAUCUGUAGUGCGUGCGC